GUAGGUGGCAAGCGUUGUCCGGAAUUAUUGGGCGUAAAGCGCGCGCAGGCGGUUCUUUAAGUCUGAUGUGAAAGCCCACGGCUCAACCGUGGAAGGUCAUUGGAAACUGGAGAACUUGAGUACAGAAGAGGAAAGCGGAAUUCCACGUGUAGCGGUGAAAUGCGUAGAGAUGUGGAGGAACACCAGUGGCGAAGGCGGCUUUCUGGUCUGUAACUGACGCUGAGGCGCGAAAGCGUGGGGAGCAAACAGGAUUAGAUACCCUGGUAGUCCACGCCGUAAACGAUGAGUGCUAAGUGUUAGGGGGUUUCCGCCCCCCUUAGUGCUGCAGCUAACGCAUUAAGCACUCCGCCUGGGAGUACGGCCGCAAGGCUG
Molecule: ribosomal RNA, 372 nt
Filed under: uncultured organism
Description: partial 16S ribosomal RNA
Rfam family: Bacterial small subunit ribosomal RNA
Source: RNAcentral